AAUAACGUUAAAUUCUUAUCAGAAACUGUCAACAGGAAGCUAUGAAAUAAUUGUCAUAUCAGUAUACUAUCUACUAGUUUUUAAAUUGAUUCGAAUAUUUUACAGAUAGAAAAAUGCUUGCAAAUUGAAAAACACAAAGUUCAAGCUAAUAUACGUGUUACAGGAAGCUUGACUGUAUUACACUCUCAUAUAUUUCAAACUGUUUUGUAAUAGAAUAAAGAAAAUAAAUAAAAUACAAUUAAAUUGUCAUUAAGAGCUGACUGUUGAUCGCCGGUUCCCGCGAGUCUGGAGCGCUGAUUAGCAGGGCAAUGAGCACCCGUUUCUAGAUCGUGGGUAUUUAGGAGGAGGAGGACGAGGAGGAGGCCUGACUUUGGAUAUUCAAUAUGUUAAUUAAAUGCGUUGAAAUCGAUUUGUUUCACAAUACGAGAAAUGAAAUGCUAUAAAUAAAAAUUUACAUAGCUGUUUCUUGAUAAGCUUCAAUAUCGACUAAAACAACGAACUGCACAUGAAUUGAUAAGAUUAAAAUGUACGACAAUAAAUAUCACACAAUUACCACGAAAUUCGAGGCAAAUACUUAGUUCCUCAAGGCCCGAACUGAAUUCGACCACAGUAAAAAUAUUGACAACUGGUCAUCGUGUCCAGCUUACAUUCGCUGCGAUGUCGUCCAAAACCAAAGUCCAAAUGCUUGCGGCAUCUUUUGAUUCCAGUCGAACCCGAAGUCAAAGUCAACGUCGACCUCGCCGUCGUCAUCAGCCUCAGUUGUGGGUGUUCUACUAAGGCGAUAUGCUAUAUGGUAUAUAUGUACAAAUAAUAUGACAUUGUUUUCCUGUUUGUUUAUAA
Drosophila montana is the source of this 840-nucleotide long non-coding RNA. RefSeq lists it as uncharacterized. The record is from RefSeq and is a predicted model, not a curated record. Lineage: Eukaryota; Metazoa; Arthropoda; Insecta; Diptera; Drosophilidae. The transcript is spliced from 2 exons.